RNAcentral lists this ribosomal RNA (227 nucleotides) under uncultured bacterium. Its description in RNAcentral is "partial 16S ribosomal RNA". It matches the Rfam family "Bacterial small subunit ribosomal RNA", at positions 118 to 341 of the family's 1533-position model. The record is from RNAcentral.
UGAGCAAUCUGCCCUUCACAUCGGAAUAACCAUUGGAAACGAUGGCUAAUACCGAAUAUGACUUCGGAUCGCAUGAUCUGAAGUGGAAAGCUCCGGCGGUGAAGGAUGAGCUCGCGGCCUAUCAGCUUGUUGGUGAGGUAAUAGCUCACCAAGGCGACGACGGGUAGCCGGCCUGAGGAGGGUCGACCGGCCACACGUGGGACUGAGACGACCGGCCCAGACCUCCG